This 207-nucleotide ribosomal RNA is filed under the name uncultured bacterium. RNAcentral's name for it is "partial 16S ribosomal RNA". It matches the Rfam family "Bacterial small subunit ribosomal RNA", at positions 568 to 774 of the family's 1533-position model. The record is from RNAcentral.
UGCGUAGACGGUUAUUUAAGUCGGGUGUGAGAGCCCCGGGCUCAACCUGGGAAUUGCAUUCGAGACUGAAUAGCUAGGGUACGGUAGAGGGAAGCGGAAUUUCCGGUGUAGCGGUGAAAUGCGUAGAUAUCGGAAGGAACAUCAGUGGCGAAAGCGGCUUCCUGGACCAGUACCGACGUUCAGGCACGAAAGCGUGGGGAGCAAACA